GAUGAACGCUGACAGAAUGCUUAACACAUGCAAGUCAACUUGAACUUCGGUUUGGGUGGCGGACGGGUGAGUAACGCGUAAAGAACUUGCCUCACAGAUAGGGACAACAUUUGGAAACGAAUGCUAAUACCUGAUAUUAUGAUUUUAGGGCAUCCUAGAAUUAUGAAAGCUAUAUGCGCUGUGAGAGAGCUUUGCGUCCCAUUAGCUAGUUGGAGAGGUAACGGCUCACCAAGGCGAUGAUGGGUAGCCGGCCUGAGAGGGUGAACGGCCACAAGGGGACUGAGACACGGCCCUUACUCCUACGGGAGGCAGCAGUGGGGAAUAUUGGACAAUGGACCAAGAGUCUGAUCCAGCAAUUCUGUGUGCACGAUGAAGUUUUUCGGAAUGUAAAGUGCUUUCAGUUGGGAAGAAAAAAAUGACGGUACCAACAGAAGAAGUGACGGCUAAAUACGUGCCAGCAGCCGCGGUAAUACGUAUGUCACAAGCGUUAUCCGGAUUUAUUGGGCGUAAAGCGCGUCUAGGUGGUUAUGUAAGUCUGAUGUGAAAAUGCAGGGCUCAACUCUGUAUUGCGUUGGAAACUGUGUAACUAGAGUACUGGAGAGGUAAGCGGAACUACAAGUGUAGAGGUGAAAUUCGUAGAUAUUUGUAGGAAUGCCGAUGGGGAAGCCAGCUUACUGGACAGCUACUGACGCUGAAGCGCGAAAGCGUGGGUAGCAAACAGG
Molecule: ribosomal RNA, 722 nt
Filed under: uncultured Fusobacterium sp.
Lineage: Bacteria; Fusobacteriati; Fusobacteriota; Fusobacteriia; Fusobacteriales; Fusobacteriaceae
Description: bacterial SSU rRNA
Rfam family: Bacterial small subunit ribosomal RNA
Source: RNAcentral